GAAAGAUGAAAAGAACUUUGAAAAGAGAGUUAAAUAGUACGUGAAAUUGUUGAAAGGGAAACGAUUGAAGCCAGUCGUACCUGCGGGUAAUCAGCCUUUUGGGCAUGAUUCUGUGGAGCGUGAGGAGUUAAACGCCUUCAUGCCUGCAUAUUCGUGUACUUAGGGUGUACUUGCCUGUGUGGUUAGUUAACAUCAAUUUUGGUUAUCAUAAAAUGGUUGGAGGAAUGUAGCUUCGAUUUCGAUUGAAGUGUUAUA
This 255-nucleotide ribosomal RNA is filed under the name uncultured Rhizophagus. Its description in RNAcentral is "partial large subunit ribosomal RNA". It matches the Rfam family "Eukaryotic large subunit ribosomal RNA", at positions 359 to 604 of the family's 3401-position model. The record is from RNAcentral. Lineage: Eukaryota; Fungi; Glomeromycota; Glomeromycetes; Glomerales; Glomeraceae.